GAAUAACAUCGGCACGGCGACACUACGCUAUCCUCAGUUGCUCUAUGCAAGCAGCAGAACAACUCGAAGCAGCGGAAUAACUCUAGCAGCGGAACAACGACGACGGUGGUGAACUCCAAUCCGCAGGGACUCUGGCUGGAACGCUUAUCCUAGCUCGCAAACAAAGAAUCCAUGGCAAACAAGCAUGCAAUCCAGGCACGACCUGCAAGCUGGCAUGACACGCCAGGUCAGUACAUUGAAUGUACUUGCAAGCUCACAAUUAACCAGAAGCAUUCAAGACAAACAACAGCAUGGCAAUUACAAGUUAAGCAGGAAUUAACAUGAGAUCCUCAUAACAACAUGACCUGAACAACAUGACACCCAAAGUAAUACUCCCAAAAUAAUACUAGGUACCAUCAUGAAAAUAAUCAUAAUAGCCACUAAAAAUCCAAAGGCAACAUGAACACGAUACAACUAGAACAACAUGAGCAUAGCAUGAGCAUAUGAGUCUGACGAUACUAGCAUGCAACAUGAUGACACUAUAUGCAUUAUUUAUUUUGCUUGGGUUAUUACGUAACCAUCACAUGCAUCACUUACCAACCUCGGACAUCACACGAUUAUCUCAGGAUCAAAUCAAGCUUGGUAUAACACUACUAGAAAAAGGGCUAUAGAUGGGAUUGACACUAAUGGCGCACCAGACAAGCGGUGCGCCAUUAGUAUAUACUAAUGGCGCACCACCUUCUGAUACGCCAUUAGAGUUGAAACUACUAAUGGCGCACCUGGCCCAGGGUGCGCCAUUAGUAUCAAAAAAAAUUUAACUAGUGCGCCUGUCCAAACAUACUAAUGGCGCAUCCAGACACAGUGCGCCAUUACUAGUUGUAACUAGUAAUGGCGCACCUGCAGGAAAGUGCGCCAUUAAUGUUGUUUUUUCUAUUAUAUUUUUUAUUCCCUUUUUUGCAAAACUAGUAAUGGCGCACUUUUCCACCGUGCGCCAUUACUAGUUUAAACUAGUAAUGGCGCACUAUUCCAUAGUGCGCCAUUAGUAUGUUUUUUUUUUGCAAAACUACUAAUGGCGCACCACCAGAAGGUGCGCCAUUAGUAACCUGGAUUACUAAUGGCGCAUUUAGAGUUGGUGCGCCAUUAGUAAGUGGGCAGCAACAAGAUAUUUUGGACAGCCUCUCCUACCCACACUCACUUUCUCCCCACUUCAUUCUCUCCACCUCCUCCUUGUCUCGGGUGCCUCCUCUUUUUCACCUCAUUUCCACCAUAGAUUCAUUCAAUUUAAGUGGUUAAAUUACCUUGUUUUGAUAGGUAAGUAAGGGGGGAAGCUAUAUUUAUGUUGUUCUCCCUACAACAAUGUGCACAUGCACUUUUUAUGGCCUAGCUAGAUCUAUGUAUGUUCGUGGUGUUACAUAUGUUUGUGGUGUUGCAAAUGUGUUUGUGUUUGGAGGUGUACCGGUAUUUGAAAUGCGAUAGUUGCCAAUAUUUUGCCGGAAUGUUGAUUCAUUUCCGUUUCGGCGAGAAUGUUGGCAUUAAGCAUUCUUUUUGGUCCUAUUUUUAGGGAAAGUCAUGCCAAAUUUUUUCUUGGUUCUAAAAUAUCGUUUUGCUCUACCCCGCAGGCGACCAUGGUCCGCAUGAUGACCGGAGGCAUCGUGAAUAGGUUUUUGAGGUCCGCGAAGGCCGAGAUGCUUCAAAAGAACGAGACGGAGAUAAGAUGUCCGUGUCGAAGAUGCAAGCUGAAGAGCCUUAUUGCGGACCCGGAAUCCGGGCAGGUGCGGGACCACCUGCUCUUGCGUGGUUUCAUGGAUGGCUAUCGGUGGCAAGGUGAUGAAGAUGACUACGAAGUCGUCCAUGGGGGCCGGGCAAGAAAUGAGGAAGGGCAGCAAGACAACCACCGCGGCUCGGGCGGGCGAGAAGACGAAGAAUCCCCAGGAGAUGAUCACGACGGUGAUGCUGUACACAGUCAUCAUGUAGAAGAUGCAGGACAUGAUGAUGAGGAAGAUGCCGGAGCAGACGACGGGCAUGAUCAUGAAGAUGAUGAUGACGGCGGAGAAGACGACGCUGGACCAUCGAUGGGCUGGGUGCAGGACCAUCAUAUUCAAGAGCUGCUUCUCAAGCAGACGGAUAACGCAAGAGCUGCCGCCCGAGAGAAAGCCAAGAUGGAUCAACUUGAGUUAGACGUGGUUACUCCAUUGUAUGAAGGAUGCAGGCCCGAGGAUACCCGCCUGAAAGUAACGCUCAUGGCUCUGGAGAUGAAGGUAAAACACAAAAUGACCGACGCAUGCUUCGACGAGAACAUGUCAUUCUAGCACGAACGUCUUCCCAAGGGGAACAAGUGCCCGACCAGUUUGGAGGAGGCGAAGAAAAUCGUGUGUCCUCUGGAUUUACCGCACGUGAAAUACCAUGUGUGCAUGAACAAUUGCAUCAUUUAUCGGGACGAGCACGCGGAGUCUACCAUAUGUCCGGUGUGCGGCGUCACUCGAUACAAGAAGAGGAAGAAAGCUCCUCGAAAAGUGGUGUGGUACUUUCCGAUCACUCCUCGUCUGCAGCGGUAUUUCGCGGACCCUAAGGUAGCAAAGCUCCUGCGUUGGCACGCGGAUAGGGAGGAGAAGAAGCGAGAAGAUGACGCAAAUGAUUCGGAGAUAGAUAAAAAAGACAAGAUGCUGAGUCACCCUAAGGAUGCGAGCCAGUGGCAAGCGUUGAACUUCGAAGACCUAGAAUUUGGGAACGAUCCAAGGAACAUCGUGCUGGGCGCGAGCACCGAUGGAGUCAAUCCGUUUGGCAGCCAGAGAAGCACACAUAGCACCUGGCCUGUGUUUGUGUGGAUGUACAACCUUCCCCCCUGGUUGUGCAUGAAGAGGAAGUACAUUCACAUGAGUAUGCUAAUUGAAGGACCGAAACAACCAGGGAACGACAUCAAUCUGUAUCUGGGGCUGCUGAAAGAGGAGCUUGACACGCUGUGGAAAAUGCCAGCCAAUACGUGGGACGCCGCAGAGAAAGAAUAUUUCCCUAUGAGAGCCGCGCUGCUCACGACGGUGCACGGCUAUCUCGGUUACGGAUAUGUCGCGGGGCAGGUGGUCCACGGAUUUUCUGGAUGCGUCAGGUGCAUGGAUGACACAACGUAUCGCCAGCUAGAUAGAGAUCCCGAGUCUUCGAAAACCGUGUUCAUGGGACAUCGAAGGUGGCUUCGCGACGAUGACCCGUGGAGAAAACGCAAGGAUCUAUUCGAUGGUGAAACCGAACCCCGAGGACGCCCGCGUACGAGGAGCGGCGAGGAAAUAGACGAGCUGUUGAAAAAUUGGAAAGACUGCCCACUGCCGGGAAAGAAGCAAAAGGCGCCAGAGCCGGGAAAGAAGCGAAAGGCGCCAGAGCCGCUGCUGAAGGUAUGGAAAACGAGGUCUGUUUUCUGGGACUUGCCGUACUGGAAGAUCCACCGUGUGCCUCACAGCCUUGAUGUCAUGCAUAUCACGAAGAACGUGUGCGAGAGUCUGCUUGGUACCCUGCUCAACAUGCCAGAGAGGACCAAAGAUGGUCCGAAAGCAAGGGCGGACUUGAAAUCAAUGGGCAUCAGGCAGGAGCUUCACGCUAUAUAUGAUGAUGAUGAUGAUGAUGAUGAUGAUGAUGAUGAUGAGGCGAAGCAGGACACGGAAAGUCGUCGCAAAGGCAAAAAGGCCAAGAAAACCGGAAAUGACUACCCUCCCGCGUGCUUCACUCUAAGUCAGGAGGAGAUCGAGCAGUUUUUCACCUGCCUCGUAGGAGUAAAACUUCCUUACGGUUACGCGGGGAAGAUAAGCAGAUACCUAGACCUAGCGAAGCUGAAGUUCAGCGGGAUGAAGUCUCACAACUGUCACGUGCUGAUGACGCAGAUACUUCCAGUUGCAAUCCGUGGGAUCAUGGACGCGCACAUCCGUGAAACGCUAUUUGGCCUAUGCAACUUUUUCGACGACAUCUCUCGGAAGUCUGUUGGCGUGAGGCAACUCAGAAGGCUACAGGAAGAGAUCGUGGUGAUACUAUGCGAGCUUGAGAUGUACUUCCCGCCCGCAUUCUUCGACGUUAUGGUGCAUCUGCUGGUCCAUAUCGUGGACGAUAUCAUCCAACUCGGGCCGACGUUCCUGCACAGCAUGAUGCCGUUCGAAAGGAUGAAUGGUGUCAUCAAAGGAUACGUUCGCAACAUGUCACGUCCAGAGGGAAGCAUAGCCAGGGGCUUUCUGACCGAAGAGUGCAUCUCCUACUGCACAAAUUAUCUAGGCAUCGAGAACCCCGUUGGUCUGCCCGUCAACAGGCACCUCGGCAGGCUCGCUGGAUGGGGUCACCGUGAGGGUCGCCGCGAAAUGCAUGUCGACUUCGAGGGUUGACUCGCCGACUUUGAAAGAGCAAACCUAGUCGCGCUACAACACAUAGACGUGGUCGAUCCUUGGGUGGUAGAGCACAAAACCUUUAUUAAGAAGACGUACAAUGACCGAGGCCAACAGAGGACGGACGGAGAUAUACUCAAAGAGCACAACUCAUGUUUCACGCGUUGGUUCAAGCAGAAGCUUCUGUCGUACCCUUUACAUGAGGAUUCUUCCGCGGAAGAACAACUCAUAUUCGCCUUGUCACAGGGCGCCGAGCACAACCCGAUGACCUAUGAGGCGUACGAUAUCAACGGCUACACAUUCUACACCGAGGCCAAGGACAUGAAGAGCAAUGGUUAUCAGAACUCCGGGGUAACGAUGGAAUCCUACACCGGUAACGACAAGGACAGAUACUACGGAAGGAUCGAGGAGAUCUGGGAGCUGAGCUACGCUGGAGAGAAGGUCCCGAUGUUCCGUGUCAGAUGGGCCAAGAGCGUCCUAAAAGAAGACCGUUAUUUCACCACCAUGGUUAUACCCGAAGCCAAAUCCAAGACCGCAGGCGCAAACGUCACCGCGAAAAAUGAGCCAUGGGUACUGGCUUCCCAAGUGGACAAAUGUUUCUUCAUUACUGACCCGUCAAAGCCCAGUCGUGUUGUCGUGAGGAGAGGCAAAAGGAAGAUCAUCGGAAUGGAUGGAGUAGCCAAUGAGAAAGACUUCGACAAGUACGGCGACCCGAGAAUCGAACAUGACGACGAUGAUGAAGUAGCAGCAUACACCACAAGAAGAAGCAGGACCACCCUACCUAAAGGACGUCCGUUCCACAGAAGAACUCCAUUUGCGAAAAAGAAGGGCAAGAAGAUUGUGAACAGAUAGCUAGCUAAGAUCGAUUGUAUUUAAAUCGUAGCCUUCAUUUCUCGAUUGUAUUUCAUGGGCACUUUUUGAACUAUCAUGAAUAUUUUUAAAUUUCAUGGACACUCGAUCUCGAUCCCCCUCCAUCUCGAUCGCUAUCCCACCUCGCCAGAUCCGGUCCCCCUCGCCGCCGAGCACCCCCCGGUCCACCGGCCCCCCGCACCCCGCGCACCCUCCCCCGCUCCACCGGCAUUACUGUUUGAUGAUAUUUUAAAAAAAAUUAUUACUGUCUUAUAAAAAAAUAUUACUGUUAUGAUUUAAACAAGUUUGAACAUAUUUAAACACAAAUAAAUAUCAAACAGCAUUUUAAAUGCAUAAAAAAAUUUGUGGAGCCUGGGAAUCGAACCCAGGACCUCCUGGUGUGAGAACUGGCUGCUAACCAGUCGAGCUAGUAGAGGGAACUUGGUGUGGAUCAGGUCAGGUGGAAGAUAACCUGUUGGCUCGAGCAGAAAUCAAAAAAAAAUACUAAUGGCGCACCAGGGUGAGGUGCGCCAUUAGUAUGGAUGUACUUAUGGCGCACCGAGGGGUGGUGCGCCAUUAGUAUUGUGCCCUCGCCCUCGAUCCCCUUCCCCUCUCCUAUCCCCGGCCCAAACCUAUCCCCUCUCUCUCCCUCGCCCUCGCCCUCGAUCCCCUUCCCCUCUCCUCUCCCGACGCCGCUGCCCCGCCGCCUCGACGCCGCCCCGUCGUCCUCGUCUCCGCCCCGACGCCCCGACGCCGCGACGCCGCCCUCUCCUCUCCCGACGCCGCCGCCCCGCCGCCUCAUCGUCCACGUCUCCUCGGCGCCGCUCUCCUCGUCUCCUCGGAGCACCACCACCACCCAGACCUCGUCGCCUCCCGGACCUCGUCGCCCCACCACCACCCGGACCUCGUCGCCCCACCUCGUCGCCCCGUCCACACCACCGCCCCCGUGAGCUCCACCACCACCCGUCGGAUACGUCGACAAACCGGACCGGAGCCGAGCCGAGGAGCACCGCGAACCCGCCACCGAGCCCUUCUUCCACCUCGGAUUCCGCCGCCUCUCCUUCAAGUCCGGCCACCCUGCUGCUCCUAAUCCACCGCCGGGCCUUCGUGUGCCUCCGCGGUGAGCUCCCCUCGCUUCCCCUCUUCCGUUUCCCCUCAUCUCGAGUGUUGUAGACCCCUCGCGCACCCGCUCGCCUACGCGUACCGCCCGCACUGGCCGCGUCCACCCUGUCGCUCCCGAACUAUUUGGAGGAUGACAAGUUUGCCAUGUUAUAGAAACUUUCAGAAAUUGCCAUGGCAAUUGCUCCAGAAAUUCGCCAUGACAAGUACUCAUAGCAAUUCUAUCCAUCGCAAACUACUCAUAGCAAAUACUGCCAUGGCAACUACUACAGAAUUUUUCCAUGGCAAUUACUCCAGAAUUUGGCCAUGUCAAAAACUCGUAGAGAUUCUAUCCAUGGCAACUACUCAUAGCAAAGUCUGCCAUGGCAACUUUCAUAAAAACAUUCAGUUUGCCAUGGUACUUGAAAUAAGUUUGACAUGUUGUGGAAAUUUCAGACUUUGCCAUGUUUUACAUUUGUCGUGUUUUUAGCUAAGAGCAAUCCUACAUUUGCCAUGUGACCAUGGUCCCAAGAUUUGCCAUGGAAAAAGAUUGUAGCUGUGUAAACAAAAAAAAGUGUGAUAGCUCAAAAAAUGAGAUCUGAACCUACCACACAAAAAUUCAGUUAUGUAUCAAGGUGGCAAAAUGUUUGUUUGUUCUGUAAAAUAGCAUGGCAAAUUUUUAUCUAAGAGUUUGUUCUAUUUGUAUUUAUCUAAAGAUUAGCAUGGCAAUUUUCUACUUGGCACAAUCUUUUAGCAUGGCAAAAUAUAGGAUGAUAGCAUCCUAAUUUUUUCAUAUGGCAAAUAUGAAGAAAAGCAUCAACUUAUACCUGAGGAAAAAAUCUGAAGCUAGUGACAGCGCAGUGGCCACGCUUCUACUCUCCCUAUAUAAGCGUUGACACAUUGGCACUCUUUUGAUCAGACAAUAGCAUUAAUAGGUGGAGACUGUUUAAUACCGGGGUCCUAUUGUUGUAGAUUAUGACAGCUCUUGCAUUUGACAUCAUGAACAACUCUCCAUGACUUAAUUUUCCUAUAUGCAUUGGCCUGUACAGCAGGUUCACUUUUCCUAUAUGCAUUGGCCAGUACAGCAGGUUCACUUUUCAAAACAAAUUAGAGCAGACCUCAUACACCCAAGAAAACCUGAAAAAAAAUGAAGUUCAACCCCUCACUUUUCCUAUAUGCAUUGGCCUGUACAGUUGGAUUUGUUUCUGAUUUUAGUGUUUUCAGUCUAUUUUUCUAUUUCUGCUUUAGCAUAACGGAAUAACUAAUGGUGGCUGCCUAAUGAUGACAGACUAAGUUUCUGAUUUAUUUUGUUAUAGAAGUGUAGAUUCAUUGGUAGCAAUUGUUUUUCAGUGUCUCAUGCUGCUUGUAGUGUUUUGUCCAAAAUGCUGAAUGAUACUGCUUGGAGAUGCAUAUAUUGUUUCACCUCUACACAUGCCAAUGUAUUUUCCAUGUUGUGAUGGAGGCCUUUUUUGCCUUGUCCACCCGAGAGGCCCAUUAGUUUUGCCGGAAUGUCGAUUAACUUCCGUUCCGGCAAAUUCGGGUACUCCAUAUGUCCUAUUUUCAGCAAAGGUCAUGCUGAAAUUUUCCGUGAAUUUUAGCAUGACUUUGCUAAAAAUAGGACAUAUGGGGUACUUGUGACUAAUGCAUGGGCCGGGGUAUCUUAGUAGUUAAUUAAGUAGGAUCAAGUGCCCCGGCGUACUUGUGACUAAUGCAUGGCUUUUAGGGUGCCUCGGUGUCGAUAAAAACCGAAAUGAUGAAAGCUUAGGCUUUUAGGGUGCCUCGGCGUCGAAAAACCCUCAAUGAUAAAAGCUUUGCUUUUAGGAUGCCUCGGUGUCGACAAACCCUAAAUGAUGAGACCAUGAUCUUGUUCCUUGACAAUAACCAACUUUUUGACCAAACUUUGUUCCUAUUUAGAGAGAAACAUGGCCAAAAACGAUGAGGCCGGGGGUGCGGGCGUCAAGGCAUUCUGGAAGCUGUCCCAGGAGAUGGAGGAACAACCUCACUUGUAUGAGGACGCCGCCUUCCCCACCGAUCCUGAGACCACUGAUGGCACCGCCGAGGAUGACCCCACUGAUGCCACCACUGAUGGUGCCGCCGAGGAUGCCACCACUGAUGAUGGCGGCGCACGCACAGAUGGCAGCCAACCGAAGAGGCAACGGAAGGACCGGCGCCCGACCAUGCUCCGCACCCUCAAGGAGGAAGUUACUGAAGUGGACUCCGACGGGAAUCCAACGGCGCCCGAACGAAUAGUCAAGGGGUACUCGCUUCAGCUCGGGUGCAUUCUCCGGAGCACCGUCUCGAUCAACACCGAGAACCUGAGGCAUCCUGACCGAGGGAAUUUGCGCAACCUCCUCUUCACGAAGCUGCACGAACGAUACAAGUUCCCCGCUGAAUUUGGAAACACAAGCCUCAAAGGGAAUAAAGUGAACAAUGCUGCCCUCACGAAGAUGAGCAAGGCCCUGUCUACUUGGAAAAGCAAUGUGAAGAGAAUGAUCGAGAAAGGUGAGAGUUAUGAGAAGAUCAAGGAGAAAAAUCCUUCGAUCACCGAAGAUGACUACAACGACUUCAAGAUCAAUUGCUCGAGCACCGCAAACUCCGAAUCAAGUAAGUGGGGGAAACAAAUGCGGGAGCUGAACUUAGGGGAACACACACUCGGUCCCGGCGGUUACAGAGUGGCGGAGCCUAUAUGGGACAAGGAGGAGGCGGAACGUGCCGAGCAAGGCCUACCGCCCCUCUUCGAUAAAUACGGUGACAAGCAGACCAGGAACUUUGUCAGGGCCCGGUACAAGAAGGACCCGAAAACAAAGGAGCUUACCACGGAUCUGAAGACCAGGGCGCUUGAGCUUGUUCUGGUAAGGAAUACACCCCCGCGUAAUUAGCUCCAUAUGGUUGCAUUCUAAUUAAUGAAGCCAAAUUUCUAAAUGGUUCACAUUCCUUCCGCAGGCGACUGAAAGCUGUAGCGCGGGGUCGACUAAGAGCAACCCUUGGGACACCACUCUAAAUAGGGCGUUGAAUGUAAUGAAGAACAAGGAUAAGCUCAGUAAGCCGACGUCAGCUGGUCGUGCGGCCGGCAAAGGCUUGUCGACAAAAUGGUCGUCAUACUAUAACACUGGUGGGCGAAAGGAGAAAAAGACCAGCUCGGAAAGCCAGGCGCGCGAGGUUCAAGAACUCAGGGCACAGGUGGCGCGGAUUCCGGAGAUUGUCCAAGAGCAAGUGCAACAACAACUCGGACUGACGAUCACCGCCAUUGUGCCUACCUUGAUCCAGGGGAUUAGUGCGUGGAUUGCGGGCGGCCAGCAGGGGCCGCCCCCGAUUCCUAGCUUCACGGCCAGCAACUCACAGAACGCGAUGGCGGGGCCAUUGGUGUCUCCGGCGGAGGCGGCAUUGGUGUCUCCGACGCCGGCACGGGAGCUUAAUGCACCCGGGUGUACGCCGGCCGGCACCUCUGCAGCAAGCGGCCCCUCCGUCAACUGCACGCCCGCCGUUGGCGGUGCCUCGACAUUAGCCGAGCUCGACGCCAUCAUCACGGUAACUAAUUAAGCCUCUCUCGGCCGAGGACUUCAUCUCCUUGCCUUUGACUGGGCAUCCCUAAUGCCCUACAUGUUUUCGCAGGGCGCCGCCGACGUUCCGUGCACUCUCCUGCACUUCGUGAACAACGAGUUGGUCGAUGUCGCCAAGGGCAAAAUCGUUCAACCGGGCAACCCCUUGUUCCAUGGUACCCAGAUGCCACCCAACUUGUUUAGGGUUCAACUGGUUCGGGUGCUGCCAGGCUGCGACGAGUUGUUACCUCCGAUUCGACCCAUCGGGGCCGAUGAUGAUGACGUGAUGACCCUCAGCGCGUGCCUGAGCUGGCCCCUGCUUUGGCCGAAGAGCCAGAUUCGUUUGGGGGCGGGGGACACCACCCCAAAGACAACACCGCCAGUCGUGCCGGCGCCAAGUCGGCCCCAUGGCAAGACCGCCGCAACGGUGCCGGACAUCCCUAUGCCACUGGAUCCAAACAUGCAUAUGGCAUAGGAUCAGAACGACGACGACGAUACAUUAGCCAACGUCGAUCAGUACUUUGCCGAUCAUGGGUACGGUGGCGACUUCAUGGGGCCUCCUUCUCAAGAACCCAACCCAACAAAAGACGUGCGCGAUCUAGCUAGUACCACGGAGAAGCCAAGUUGCAACAGGCGUCGUCUGCAGUUCAGCUCUCAGGAGACGCCUCCAGCUGCCGACUUCACCGAGCCUCAGAUAGGCGAGGUGUGAAAUAUGAUCAGCCCCAACACACUCAAGAAGGCGGUCUGUGAGCAGAACUCGGUCCCAUUACAGGAGAAGAAGAAGUCACGCAAAAGAAAGACGAACAAGGGUGCGGGCCAGCCGGCACCGAGUACGAUCCGUGCUCAAGACGGGCCACCUUCAACUGAGGAUAUCUCGAGGAGGGUGCAUGUGGCGGGUAGGCCGAUGCUACCGAGAAAUAUGCUCGAUGCUGCAACCGGUGCUAUGCGGAGUCUGCAUGACAGUGUUCUUUCUUUGGAGAAGCGGCGUCUCAGAGAGAAGGAUGUGGCAUACCCGGUUUUCGCGGCCAAGGUGCCAGAGGGCAAGGGCUUUGUGGAUAACUCCAUCGGGGGUACGAUCGUCCUGCGGUUUGAUGACAUCCACGCUAUGUUGAACCUUCAUCCGCUGCACUACACCUUCGUUCGGCUAUUUUCGCUGAGUAUGGAGAUGCGGAUCAUUCGCGACAAGACCCCGGACAUCGUGAUAGUCGACCCCUUCUACAUGCGUGCCAAGAUCUUGGGCAGCGCUGGGGACCGGCAAGUCGCGAGUUCUUACCUCGAAGGCGUCAUUCUGGCAAACCAAGAUAAGGAUAACUUCCUCGUGCCUUACUUUCCCGAGUAAGUCCUCCCCUCAACCGCCCCGUAACAUAUGAAUUCUUAGAUAUCGAUCGUUUUUCUUUUACAUUCCGUGUUUUCUGCAGUGACACACAUUGCACGCUCAUCCUCCUAAGCCCCAAAUAUUCCAUGGCCACGUAUUUCGACCCAGACCGUCAGUCGAACGUACACUACACAAAUGUCAAGAAGGUUCUUGAUGAUGUUCUCCCCGGCUACGUCAAAUCUGGAGGCACCUUCACCAGGCCUAUUCGUAAGUACGGCAAGCACGUGUUCUCCCACAAUACGCCGUUCUGCUGCGUCAAGCAGCCGCCUGGCGGUCAGAAGGGUGCCUACUACGCCAUCCAUCACAUGCGAGCGAUCGUACGGGACCAUCAUCAACUUCUGCUACCGAGUAGACUCAAAGAUUGGGCCGCGAGCGUGUCGGCAAUCCAGGACGCAGACAUCAGACAAGAAUUCUUUCGCAUCCAGUCGGAGUUUGCGGAAAUCAUCCAUCAAGAUGUCCUUCGUACCUCGGGGCAGUUCUACCUCAGAAAUCAACCGUCCAACAGUGACAUUGACACAAUCCUACAAAUGCAGGCUGACAAUGCCCGUUGUUUCAUGACUCCCACGAUAGACGGCGGCUUCAUCCACGCUCCGGUCCCUUGAGUCGAGUCGAAAGCAGUGAUGUUGUGUCUAGUUCUGAAACAUCGAUUGGCUCGUGUUGUAAUUAAACUUUAAUGAACUUGUAGUAUGUCUCUUUGGUUUCGAGAGUUGUUCAACUUAGAUGUAAUCGAUGCUAUUAAUGUCUUGCUUUUCUCUUCCGAUCGUUCUGUUGCAUACUUAUAUAUUGCUUAUGUAUUGUCUGUGAAUUGGUACUAACGUUUCGUUUGGCUACUGCAUAGCGAUGCCGUGGUAUGUCGUGUACAAGGGUAAGGUUCCCGGAGUCUACGACGACUGGGAGGAGUGUCGGAGACAGGUUCACCGAUUCAGCGGUAACAGUUACAAAGGGUACGCCACUAGAGCCGAGGCCGAAUCUAGAUACGCCCGCUAUCUAGCGGGAGAGGGGAGGGAGCGUUGGAGGAACCGGGUGAAGACGAGUUUCAUCGUGAUGAUGCUCAUCGUGAUGACCGCAGCUCUCUUCUAUGUGAUGGUAGUUUAGAUGAUCGAUAUCGACUUGUAAUGUGAAGACAAACUCGCGGUCUCGAGACUUGUAAUAUAAUGUUCUAUCUUUGUUCGGUCUUUUCAAUUCGGAGACUAAUAUGAUGAAUUGUAUUCGGAGACUAAAAUGAUGAAUUGUAUUCAGAGACUAAUCUUCUAUUGUAUUCGAUGAAUCUGUUGUUGAUGUGUGCUGUCUAUAUUUUGUCCAAUUAUACAUUUUGUAACCUGUGCAAAAAACAGAAAAUAAAAAAAUAAAAAAAACUAAUAUUCAUACUAAUGGCGCAUCACAUCAUAGUGCGCCAUUAGUAUGCCAAAGGAUACUAAUGGCGCAUCACUAAACAGUGCGCCAUUAGUAUGCCGAAGUUACUAAUGGCGCAUCCUGUUGUUGUGCGCCAUUAGUAUGCCAAAGCACCUGGGUAUACAUGGCCCCCUGGGAGGCAUACUAAUGGCGCACUGUUGUAUAUACUAAUGGCGCAUCUGGGGUGCGCCAUUAGGAUACCAGAUACUAAUGGCGCACCACUGGUGCGCCAUUAGUAAAAUAUACUAAUGGCGUGGCACUAAUGGCGCACCACUAAUGCGCCAUUAAUGGCCAAAUUAGGUGCGCCAUUAGUAGGCCUUUUCCUAGUAGUGUAAACAAUACCGUAGUAAUCAUUAAAUGACCACAAGGAGCUUGAUCUUUACCCAUGAUUCUCGCACAACAUCACGAAUAUCCAACAACUCGGUAUCCUCGAUACCACGGUGAUCAUUCCGGCGAUCACAACCAUGACCAACACUUGGUCUCAAACAGUGAUCUUUCCGGCGAUCAAAACCAACUUAUCUCAUCAUCAAACCGGGGCUGUUAUUAAUCAAGUUAUUAUUAAUACUGUUGACUCACGGUGGGACCGACACGAACUGGGCCCUUAUCCGCGGGCGCGGCUAUCGAUAGAUUUAAUAUACACUCUGCAGAGGUUAUCACACUGUACCCACAUCACGGAACCCAUGGCCUCGCACUCCCAUUCGGGUGGACCAACGGCGUUCCGACAAAACCGAUCUACUGCCGUGACAUUCUCCCGGCCACUCCGACCAAAUCCUCAACGGGCUAGUCCUGGGUGGCCCCGUGUCUACCAAAGACACCCCGACCACCGUCGUGGUCAAAACACUCCCACUCGGGGACUGGAUCCAUAAAACUAAAAACAACGAGCACACAAGGUUAUGUCUGCCUACCUGAUCAGGGUAAGCACGCCCAUAACCUUCCCUCGUGGGAGGCACCGGCGAGAUGCACGACAAUAGACCCAGUUAGGACCUUCCCAUAAGGUAAGCGUGGUUGCACUGGUCAGAUUCGAUAUGGUGGCACCAUGACUCAGCCAACAGUUGUUCAAGUUCAAUUUAAUCCGGUUAAACUUGAAUGCAAUAUGCUGAGCCAUGAUAAAAUAACAUGAUGCAUAUACAAAGCAUGAGAAUGAUAUCAACAUAAGCACGGGAUGCAACAUAACUAUCCACCAUAUCAACUAUGAAUAAUUUCCAACUGAACAUGGCAUAAUGACGAGCAUAAAUAUUACAAGUGCAACACUACUCAUAACAUAACAUGACCACUAGCAUCAACAAUAAAUACCAUGCAAGAACAUAUCAACAGUGCUAUCAUGCAAGCAUUUAACCAACUAGAUGCAAUAGAACAUGUAUAAGAACAGUACUCGGGACAGAUAGCUGUCAUGCACCGAAGACCAUCACCAACAUCAACAUGUACUACUAGCAAGCAUAAGCAUAUGAAGGAACACUAGCAACUAGCAGGGCAUGACAACUAGGUGCAUGACAACAUAGCAAGAAAGUAAGCACUAACCCAAAAGCAUUACCGAAACAACGAUAACCAUCUUUUAAACAAGCAAACAUUUAUUCAAUAUUCAAGUUGGAAACCAUGGCUACUGCAUGACUAUCAUGCAAGUGGGUAUUGUGGCUUGCCUGGGGAUGAAGAAGGCACCGGGAAGAAGUGCGGUGAAGCCGCGGAAAGAUUU
This 14277-nucleotide long non-coding RNA is filed under the name Triticum aestivum (bread wheat). RNAcentral's name for it is "long non-coding RNA (TAES_LNC017333)". The record is from RNAcentral. Lineage: Eukaryota; Viridiplantae; Streptophyta; Magnoliopsida; Poales; Poaceae.